RNAcentral lists this small nuclear RNA (142 nucleotides) under Fukomys damarensis (Damara mole-rat). RNAcentral describes it as "U2 spliceosomal RNA". It matches the Rfam family "U2 spliceosomal RNA". From Rfam's summary of the family: U2 is a small nuclear RNA (snRNA) component of the spliceosome (involved in pre-mRNA splicing). Complementary binding between U2 snRNA (in an area lying towards the 5' end but 3' to hairpin I) and the branchpoint sequence (BPS) of the intron results the bulging out of an unpaired adenosine, on the BPS, which initiates a nucleophilic attack at the intronic 5' splice site, thus starting the first of two transesterification reactions that mediate splicing. The record is from Rfam by way of RNAcentral. Lineage: Eukaryota; Metazoa; Chordata; Mammalia; Rodentia; Bathyergidae.
AUUGCUUCUCGGCCUUUUGGCUAAGAUCAUGUGUACUAUCUAUAUCUAGUCACAUUUUCUUUAUCCAUUCUUCUGGGCAUCUAUACUGUUUCCAGGGAUAGCGAUUGUGAGUUACACUGUAUAAACAUACAGUGUAAACAUU